RNAcentral lists this transfer RNA (77 nucleotides) under Pseudomonas aeruginosa. Its description in RNAcentral is "tRNA-Met". The record is from RNAcentral. Lineage: Bacteria; Pseudomonadati; Pseudomonadota; Gammaproteobacteria; Pseudomonadales; Pseudomonadaceae.
UGGAUUUGAACCAACGACCUUCGGGUUAUGAGCCCGACGAGCUACCAGACUGCUCCACCCCGCGUCAAAGCUGGUGC